RNAcentral lists this unclassified non-coding RNA (483 nucleotides) under Dysphania nepalensis. RNAcentral's name for it is "partial contains external transcribed spacer and small subunit ribosomal RNA". The record is from RNAcentral. Lineage: Eukaryota; Viridiplantae; Streptophyta; Magnoliopsida; Caryophyllales; Amaranthaceae.
AUUGGUUUAUUUGGUUGGCGGGCUCCAYGUUUGUGCAUUGAACCGUUCACCGAUAAGCCUCUUCAAUGUUUGCGCCAAGAGCUAUUGCCUUGGGCGAGUAUUGGUUUUCUGUGUUGUAUUCCAAUUGAAGGUAUACAUACCAAUAAAUUGCUCAUUUUCGCCUAACACUUUUACGGGUGUUUGGUGGACCCAUGUAGCUAGAUUCGUUCCCCAAACACAAUGUCAAAGCGCCAUUGUUAUGGAGUACGAUUUCUAGUUGUGCUSUGGGAUGCAGAAAGUUUAGUGGGGAUAGGCGUUUUGAUACGUUGUUAUCCYUAUUUAAGCAUUUUAUGCUAAGCAUGAACGACAGCUGGUUACGAKUUGACYUUCYUUGUAAAGGGAGGGMUCAUGCGUACUAGUGUCGCUCGAGGAGUGCUACCUGGUUGAUCCUGCCAGUAGUCAUAUGCUUGUCUCAAAGAUUAAGCCAUGCAUGUGUAAGUAUGA